AGGGUGACCGAUGUGACCUCUCCUGGAAGGUUUUCAGGAUGCACGUGUUGACUUUUGACUUCCAAGUCCCAAAGCUCGUUUCAGUAGUUCCAGGCGGUUAUGACGGUGGCUCGCUGGCCUGAAUGAUCUUAAUCACGAAAGCACUUGUGUACAGCUUUAUAAUUCGACGUCUGUGUGCACUACACAGCGCUCCCCGCCACCGCCUGCUUCCCACCCUCACCGCGCCGCCCACGCGCGGUGGUCAGCUGGCCGGCCGGCGCCGCUGGCUGGUGGCCUCCCCGAGACACGCAGGCACCGAGACUUCCGUGGGGACCGAGGCGUCCGGGUCCUGCCCCUCACUCCUCCCCCUGCUCGUGGCCCCGACGGACCAGGCACACGGAUUCACCUGUGGAAGCCACAGAACAUUUGUGGCCCAAGAAGAUUCAAGCGACAGCAAAAUGAAGACUAAUCAAGUCAGGGGACGCUUCCUUUUCCUACAACCAGACUCCAGUACCCCAGAAUCUGUGUUUGUGAAAACUCCAGAGGAAGACAAACAACACUCCCUCCAGUGCUCCCCUCUUGCCUCGUCCCCCUAAAGUCUUUCCAUUUUCUUGCCGUGUCCCCCUGUUCCCUCUGUAGAAGCCAGCACAGUUUCUGCGGCCGGCGAGUGGGCAGGCAGGGGGGCUGACGGAGACAGGGGAAGGCACCUACCUGAGGCUUCCUUCUUGUGAAGAGGACUCGAGGCCUUCCGGCCCUCUGGGACCAGCUCCUCUGGACAAAGAUGGCGGGCCUGGGCUUCCUUUGGCUUGGUGCCGGGUGUAUACAAACACGGCAGAUUACCACGGGUCCCAGUUCAUCGGAUAUAUUCCUGGGGUGGGAGCAGCCUCGUUGGGCUUCCAGAAAACUCACCCAAGGAAGAAAAGCUCGCUCUGAGACAGAUGAGGCUGAGGAGAUGGGUUUUGUGCCUGUUUUUCUUGCGCCCAUUGUGUGUUUGCACAAGCCAAGCAAACCCCCUUGUGAAUCAUUUUGAUCCUCGCAAACUCUCGGCACAGCUCUCAAAAUUGCCCAAGGACCUUUCCAUCAGUUCAAAGAAAAAAUGUGUUGUUUUAGUCUAGCAACGUAUCUCUUUAUAGCCACAGAUUAUCACAGCAUGGAGGGAGCAUUGCACACCUGCAGGGAGGGGGCGGGGCGCCUGG
Equus quagga is the source of this 1175-nucleotide long non-coding RNA. RefSeq lists it as uncharacterized. The transcript has 3 exons. The record is from RefSeq and is a predicted model, not a curated record. NCBI's taxonomy places the organism in Eukaryota, Metazoa, Chordata, Mammalia, Perissodactyla, Equidae.